CUUGAUUACAGAGGUGAGGGAUGGCAGGCAGGAGCAGUCCGGGGAAGGAUUUUGUCACCAAUAACACUCGAGCAAAAAGGCUGGACUGCCUUUGUGGCCAGAUUGAAGAGAUCAUCACUCUCCUCAGUCAAUGGGUUUGUGAAGCUGUGAAGAGUGGCAGUUGGUGCUUCAAUGUUUGGAUUUUGCUUGAAGUUGAGUGAUCUCAAUAAUGCUUGAUGAGAGAGAAAAUCAAUCAUCACUGCUGCCUCUGCCUGCCUGCCUGCACUUCCAUUCCAGGCCCAGUGUGCCAUCCUCCUGUGACCAGACCCUCAGAGGUGGACUACAGAGACCCAGCGUUGGAGAAGCCUUCAACU
Long non-coding RNA from Hemicordylus capensis (graceful crag lizard), 353 nucleotides. RefSeq lists it as uncharacterized. The record is from RefSeq and is a predicted model, not a curated record. NCBI's taxonomy places the organism in Eukaryota, Metazoa, Chordata, Lepidosauria, Squamata, Cordylidae. The transcript has 3 exons.